UUUUUCCUACAUCUUCCAUUA
RNAcentral lists this non-coding RNA (21 nucleotides) under Caenorhabditis elegans. Lineage: Eukaryota; Metazoa; Nematoda; Chromadorea; Rhabditida; Rhabditidae. The record is from RNAcentral.